Molecule: ribosomal RNA, 446 nt
Filed under: uncultured bacterium
Lineage: Bacteria
Description: partial 16S ribosomal RNA
Rfam family: Bacterial small subunit ribosomal RNA
Source: RNAcentral
ACCAGACUCCUACGGGAGGCAGCAGUGGGGGAUAUUGCACAAUGGGGGGAACCCUGAUGCAGCGACGCCGCGUGGGUGAAGAAGCGCCUCGGCGCGUAAAGCCCUGUCAGCAGGGAAGAAAAUGACGGUACCUGAAGAAGAAGCCCCGGCUAACUACGUGCCAGCAGCCGCGGUAAUACGUAGGGGGCAAGCGUUAUCCGGAUUUACUGGGUGUAAAGGGGGCGCAGACGGCGAUGCAAGCCAGGAGUGAAAGCCCGGGGCCCAACCCCGGGACUGCUCUUGGAACUGCGUGGCUGGAGUGCAGGAGGGGCAGGCGGAAUUCCUGGUGUAGCGGUGAAAUGCGUAGAUAUCAGGAGGAACACCGGUGGCGAAGGCGGCCUGCUGGACUGCGACUGACGUUGAGGCCCGAAAGCGUGGGGAGCAAACAGGAUUAGAUACCCCUGUAC